This 22-nucleotide microRNA is filed under the name Malus domestica (apple). RNAcentral describes it as "mdm-miR10996b". The record is from miRBase by way of RNAcentral. Lineage: Eukaryota; Viridiplantae; Streptophyta; Magnoliopsida; Rosales; Rosaceae.
UCACCAUUGCAUCUCAUGUUCC